CAGACCUAAGCUCCUCCUCUGACACAAGCUCAUUCCCAUUUUUGCCACUAACAAACUCAGCAAAGGUAGCAGCAGCAGCACCGCCUCCACCACCUAGCAAGCCCCCAACUGCGGUCAAUGAACCCUCCACAGUUGGAGGCGCAGAACCACUCCUAUACAAAUUGAGCUCUCUCUCGAGAUCAUCAGGCUCUUGCCUGCGUUGCUCACGCAGCAAUAACCCUAUUUCCUUCUCCAAAUCAUC
RNAcentral lists this unclassified non-coding RNA (241 nucleotides) under Hevea brasiliensis (rubber tree). The record is from RNAcentral. Lineage: Eukaryota; Viridiplantae; Streptophyta; Magnoliopsida; Malpighiales; Euphorbiaceae.